This 430-nucleotide long non-coding RNA is filed under the name Gossypium raimondii (Peruvian cotton). Its description in RNAcentral is "long non-coding RNA (GRAI_LNC004630)". Lineage: Eukaryota; Viridiplantae; Streptophyta; Magnoliopsida; Malvales; Malvaceae. The record is from RNAcentral.
UAAAAUUGGUAUCCUCAAAACACGCUUUUAAGUGUUUCUCUCUGCCACCACCGUCUUCUUCAUCAUCUUCCCCUCUUUCUUUCUUUCUUUUUUUUUUUAAUUUCAACACCUAACAUACAUGUUUCAUUUCGCAAAAGCCAUCUUUAUCUGUUUCUAAUGUGACUCUGAAGCCUCCUUCUUUCCUUCAACGUACCCAAUGUAAAGUUUUCUCAACUUCUUCUCAAUCAUUUAUUUCCAUCUACUUGCCUUUCUAUUUUAAUCCUUCACGACUCUGGAUUUUCUUGAAUAAAUUACUAUGAAGACAAUAAUGUUGAUGUUUUGGAAUUUAAGCUGAAGGAGCUCUCAGCCGUCCGUUCGAAAUCCCCUUCCGUUCAUCAAUUCUCUGUCGCCUUCACCAAGACACUGACCCCUCUCUUUCAAAUUCUAAAGC